UAGGGCCUUAGAACUUCUGGGGCCUUGGCCUUUUCUGGAAGCUGCUUUGCGAUGAUCUUCACAAAAGUUGGAGGAAAUCAAGAAGGGACUGAUGCACCAUUCUGAGAAAAAAAUUCAACCAAUGACAACUCAAACAUCAGCAUUAUAUAUAUCUAAUACAUUCUACAAAUUCCCUGCUAGUGGAUGCCUCCAAUUUACCAAUGUAGAAACUACAGACCCGGACAAUUAUUUUAUUUAAAAAACUCUCCAGUUGAUUAUGUAUCUGGCAAUAUUCUCUGACCUACCUUGUCUGCUAGUAGAUCAUAAGCCCUGCGUUUUAGAAGAGGUUCUGACUUGUAUCUGAGAAGAAGGAAUGCUGCACAGAGAUGCCAAGAAUAAUCUGUACAGGCAAACCUCCAGUAUCUCCUCAUUCAGUCUGUUAACAUUGAUUAUACUCCUUUUGUAAAAUCACAUUUCUAAACUUUGGGCCAUGCUUUAAUCAUACCUGUGCAA
This is a long non-coding RNA of Fukomys damarensis (Damara mole-rat), 492 nucleotides long. RefSeq lists it as uncharacterized. NCBI's taxonomy places the organism in Eukaryota, Metazoa, Chordata, Mammalia, Rodentia, Bathyergidae. The record is from RefSeq and is a predicted model, not a curated record. The transcript has 5 exons.